CCUANGGGUGGCAGCAGUGGGGAAUCUUGCACAAUGGGCGAAAGCCUGAUGCAGCAACGCCGCGUGCGGGAAGAAGGCCCUAGGGUUGUAAACCGCUUUCAGUAGGGAAGAAAAUGACGGUACCUACAGAAGAAGGUGCGGCCAACUACGUGCCAGCAGCCGCGGUGACACGUAGGCACCAAGCGUUAUCCGGAUUUAUUGGGCGUAAAGAGCUCGUAGGCGGUUCGGUAAGUCGGGUGUGAAAACUCUGGGCUCAACCCAGAGAGGCCACCCGAUACUGCUGUGACUAGAGUGCGGUAGGGGAGCGGGGAAUUCCUGGUGUAGCGGUGAAAUGCGCAGAUAUCAGGAGGAACACCAGCGGCGAAGGCGCCGCUCUGGGCCGUAACUGACGCUGAGGAGCGAAAGCAUGGGUAGCAAACAGGAUUAGAUACCCUGNUANUC
Molecule: ribosomal RNA, 441 nt
Filed under: uncultured bacterium
Lineage: Bacteria
Description: bacterial SSU rRNA
Rfam family: Bacterial small subunit ribosomal RNA
Source: RNAcentral